Molecule: long non-coding RNA, 3151 nt
Organism: Acinonyx jubatus (cheetah)
Lineage: Eukaryota; Metazoa; Chordata; Mammalia; Carnivora; Felidae
Exons: 2
Source: RefSeq, a predicted model, not a curated record
AGUGUUUGCUUGUCGUUAACACCCCACUGCUUUGUAUAACUUUCGUAGCAACCAUUAUUUGUCUUACAUAUUGUUUGCAUUUUUAUAUGGAUUUUCUCCAAAUUAAGUUCUGAUUCCAGUUUUAUAUGACUUGGAGAAAAAGAAACUUAAAAUUAUUGGAUGUCAGUAAUAAGAGCCAAACAAUAUUUUAGAGAAAAACUAAUAUGUUAAAAAAAAACCCCAAACAUUACCAAGCUUUACUAGGGAAAAUGCAGGACAGAAUCAGCUUGUAAAAGCCAUUGCUGAGGUGAGAGCCGUCCCGAGUUGCUGGCCCGGUGGCCGCCAGAGGCAGGGACGAGAGGGAGAGUGGACAACAGAGACCUGGGGCCGCCUCUGCCCCGGCCCGGGCGGCGGGUGUUGGUGCCAUGGGAGCUGACUUGCUGAAGGGAUGUGUUGUGUUGUGUUCUUUAUCGGCAUUAAUAGCAGUUGUGUCUUUUCAAGCAGCAAGCAGGUGCACUAACGUGAGAUUGUUUGGUCCUUCCUCCUCCAUCGGAGAGCACUGGUAAAAUAACAUAUUAUGUAGAGCUUCUCACUGAGGGGCGCCUGGGGGGCUCAGUCAGGUGAGCGUCCCACUUCGGCUCAGGUCGUGACCUCACGUUCGUGGAUUCAAGCCCCACGUUGGGCUCUGUGCUGACAGUUUGGAGCCUGGAGCCCGCUUCGGAUUCUGAGUCUCCCUCUCUCUCUACCCCUCCCCCACUCGCGCUCUGUCUCUCGCCUUCAAAAAUAAACAUUAAAAAAUUUUUAAAAAUAAAUAAAAUAACUCACUUUUAACUUGAUUUCACUUCAUUACCCAAUUUUUAUGAGAACGCUGAGUUUGGUAGGAAUUGUCACUAGAUUCGUUUUCUUAACAUUGGACAGAAGCUACAUCAGAAGGAGGUAGUCGUGGAAUUUCAUCUUGGAAAACCCAUUUGAAGGCAUUCUGUUCACACACAAAGUUCAUAGACUGAAUUAGGCCAACGGGAACUGGCCAACCCCAGGGCGUGCGGGAGAACAGUGUCGCCGACUCUCUGAGGUGUCGCCAGGACAGAGGUUCUGACGGUUUUACACCUGAGCCCGCAGGUGGACGCAGGUGAUGGAGGGCAUCCUUGCCCGGAGAAAGGGGGCCCCAUGAUGCUUCUGAGGACACCUGGCUGGGAGAAAGGGCCAGGGCGGAGGCGGAGGUGGGGUCCGGAAGCAUUUUAUAGUUUGUGAAGCUUCUCCAUCUGAUAGCCAGUCAUUUGCAAAAUCUGGGAUUGGACCUGGAGACCCAUCAGCCUGGAAGAAGGGCUUCAAGCGAGGAAUGGACGACUCAGCGUUUGGAAGGAUGUCUUUUCCAGGUACCUAGUAGCUCCCUGGUGUUGACCUUAUUAGGUUAAGCUGUGUAAAAUUACCAGCACGCAGCUGGUUUUGAUCCGUGAGAAGGGCAACUUCAUAUGAUCCAGCCAAAUAUGUGUUUCAAAGGAAGGAUUGAACACACACGCCAACCCUACCUCCCGCCCCCUUCCUCCCUGCCUUCUUCCUGUCUUCUUUCUGACAACAGUUUGGUUAGUGCUGACUUUGUUUCAGGCCCUAAUUCAAAAUGACCUGUCAACUUGUUUCUUCCCUAUGUUCCCAGCCCAGCGUAAUUUUGGCUGCUGUUAGUAGCUUCACGGGGACUUCUGAGCACCUGGGGCCGCUGACCCAGGGCGUCUGGGGUCCGGGUUUGUUGGGUGAGUGAAACUCACACUCCCUGGGUGAGUGACUGACUGCUCUGCCACUGGGCCCUGGGUGUGGCCCUCGGGCCAGGAGAACCUCUCCUGCUCACUGGGAGCCUGUUGGCGUCACAUGCACACUUCACCUGAGGGUUUCAACAGAGGACUAAUUGAUGGAGCUUAGGCAUAGGAUAGGAGGACCAAGGUCCCAGAGGAACAAGAAUUGAAUGGAAGUAAAGCAAGCAACACUAGAGAGAAGUAAUGAGUUUGAGUAGGAACCAAGGUGGCUGUGCAACUGUGAGGUUGACGGUGAGAAAAUCGAGGCCACAGAGGGAAGGUGGCCCUCACAGGCUUCCCAAGGAAGAUGGGGACAGGCAGGGCAGGGUGGUGGGAUGGCGGCGUGCCCUGGCAUGGGCGGACGUGAGGGUGGGCCCUCCACAGGUCAUGUGCCCAGGAGUCAGGGCAGGGAGCCCGGUGCCCAUGGACCUAGGUGCACAGCAUGCGGGACCCUUCUAUCCAGAUCAGCAUCAGUGCAGGCUAUGGGGUUCUGCAGGAAGACAUUUCAUUCCACUGUUGGCACUGACAUUGACAUCGUCACAGGAGGAAACAGCUCUUCUGUUCACUUUCUGGUCGGUUGUGGUGGGUGGAGUCCAUGCUGACCCACGUGGAAUCCGGGAGCCUGCCGGCUUCGUGGCUCUGGCACGUCCGCCGCUGACACCCUUGAUGUCAACACGCGGUUCUCUACCUGCAGACAUUAAGGGCCGUUGUCACCUGUCAUUUGAAUAGCAGUGGCACCUGCUUACAGACAGAAGCUCGGAGUUGAAUCGUGGGUAUGAAGAUUAUAGUGACACGGCUGGAUGAGGAGGGGAGGAUGCAAAUUGUCUUUUCCUUCUGCAAUGCAAGAUUCCGCCAAGACAGUCUCCACGUUUAAGCCUUGGCCCUCCUGGGCGGUAAUGCCGCCCUUAUCUGACACCGUGCUUGUCCGUGGCCUCUGCUGUUCAGCCCUUGUUGCCAUGUGUUCUCGAGUGGGCCUCUCGGUGCCCUCCUGAAAAUGCCUCCUUUGACCCAGACCUCAGGGCACCUUCUGGUCCUGCAUCCUGUUCCUGUCCCCCACAGCAGCCUUUCCAUAUGUGACCCUCUUCAGAGAAUGCCCAGCAGCCGCCUGUUCCCCAGAGAGCACUGUGUGUCCAUGGCUCAAGUAUUUACCAGGCAUCAAGAAAACAGUAAACUUUCCUCCAAAACCCUGAAACUUUGCUUUCAGACCUGCGCCGGAAGUGCCCUGGCACGCCAAGUCACAUUCCAGUGGUAGCGGAUCAGCCCGGGGUGGCUCAGAUACAUUACAAGUAGAUGAGAAAAUAUGAAAACAAAAGGCUUCCUAAGUGAAACCAUACUGGUUUUUCUUCCACUGUGAAAUAAAUAAAAUAAUGUUUUUCUUUCAUAGA